GAUGAACGCUAGCGGCAGGCUUAACACAUGCAAGUCGAGGGGCAGCGCGGGAUAGCAAUAUCCUGGCGGCGACCGGCGGAAGGGUGCGUAACGCGUGAGCGACAUGCCCGUUGCCCGGGGACAACCGGUGGAAACGCCGACUAAUCCCCGAUGGGAUAUUGUGCCGCAUGGCACGAUAUUGAAAGUUACGGCGGCGACGGAUUGGCUCGCGUCCGAUUAGCUGGUUGGCGGGGUAACGGCCCACCAAGGCUGCGAUCGGUAGGGGUUCUGAGAGGAAGGCCCCCCACAAUGGGACUGAGACACGGCCCAUACUCCUACGGGAGGCAGCAGUGAGGAAUAUUGGUCAAUGGGCGGAAGCCUGAACCAGCCAUGCCGCGUGCGGGAAGGAGGCCCUAUGGGCUGUGAACCGCUUUUGCCUGGGGGCAAUAAGGGCGUCGCGCACGUCCGAUGAGAGUACCAGGCGAAUAAGCAUCGGCUAACUCCGU
This 485-nucleotide ribosomal RNA is filed under the name uncultured bacterium. RNAcentral describes it as "partial 16S ribosomal RNA". It matches the Rfam family "Bacterial small subunit ribosomal RNA", at positions 28 to 506 of the family's 1533-position model. The record is from RNAcentral.